GACGAACGCUGGCGGCGUGCUUAACACAUGCAAGUCGAACGGAAAGGCCCCUUUGGGGGUACUCGAGUGGCGAACGGGUGAGUAACACGUGAGUAACCUGCCCUUGACUUCGGGAUAACUUCAGGAAACUGGGGCUAAUACCGGAUAGGAAUCCUUGCUGCAUGGUGGGGGUUGGAAAGCUUCGGCGGUUUUGGAUGGACUCGCGGCUUAUCAGCUUGUUGGUGGGGUAGUGGCUUACCAAGGCUUUGACGGGUAGCCGGCCUGAGAGGGCGACCGGCCACAUUGGGACUGAGAUACGGCCAGACUCCUACGGGAGGCAGCAGUGGGGAAUAUUGCACAAUGGGCGGAAGCCUGAUGCAGCAACGCCGCGUGCGGGAUGACGGCCUUCGGGUUGUAAACCGCUUUCAGCAGGGGCGAAGCUUGUGGUGACGGUACCUGCAGAAGAAGCACCGGCUAACUACGUG
This 464-nucleotide ribosomal RNA is filed under the name uncultured bacterium. Its description in RNAcentral is "partial 16S ribosomal RNA". It matches the Rfam family "Bacterial small subunit ribosomal RNA", at positions 28 to 507 of the family's 1533-position model. The record is from RNAcentral.